Molecule: ribosomal RNA, 949 nt
Filed under: Newbya sp.
Lineage: Eukaryota; Oomycota; Saprolegniomycetes; Saprolegniales; Saprolegniaceae
Description: partial large subunit ribosomal RNA
Rfam family: Eukaryotic large subunit ribosomal RNA
Source: RNAcentral
UAGCGAUCUGGGAAAAGUCCCUUGGAAAAGGGCAGCACAGAGGGUGAUACUCCCGUCUUUGCUCAGAUUGUCUGUGUGUACGAUACGCUUUCUUUGAGUCGAGUUGUUUGGGAAUACAGCUCAAAGUAGGUGGUAAAUUCCAUCUAAAGCUAAAUAUUGGUGCGAGACCGAUAGCGAACAAGUACCGUGAGGGAAAGAUGAAAAGAACUUUGAAAAGAGAGUUAAAGAGUACCUGAAACUGUUGAAAGGGAACCGUAUCGUUUCCAGUGUUUUAUCCUAUGCAUAUUUCAUCGGCGGAGUAAUUUGCUGGUGCCCUGUGCAUGGGUGUGACGUCAGAGUCAGUUUGUAUGCUGCGGGAGAUGGUUAGUAAGAAGGUGCGUCACUUCGGUGAAAGUUAUAUCUUGCUAUCUAGUUGCCGUGGUUGAGACUGAGGUGCCUACAACAUGCCCUGGGGUUCAGUGGCGUCUCGUUUUGGUGACUGCUUGGAUAGCUUGCUAUGUCUGUGGUUAAUCAGGGCGAUCGAUGCUAUUGAAAACCUCUGCUGUUCGGGACUCUGGCGAAAUGGAGCGAUACGACCCGUCUUGAAACACGGACCAAGGAGUCUAACAUGUGUGCAAGUAUUAGGGCGUGGAAACCCAAAUGCGUAAUGAAAGUAAAUGCUGCUUAUGCAGCUGUGGUAGGAAAGGGCUGUAAUGGUCCUGGCACUAUCGACCGAUCAUGAGCCUACGGGCGAAAGAUUUGAGUAUGAGCAUAUAUGUUGGUACCCGAAAGAUGGUGAACUAUGCCUGAAUAGGGUGAAGCCAGGGGAAACUCUGGUGGAAGCUCGUAGCGAUUCUGACGUGCAAAUCGAUCGUCAAAUUUGGGUAUAGGGGCGAAAGACUAAUCGAACCAUCUAGUAGCUGGUUCCCUCCGAAAUUUCCCUCAGGAUAGCAGCAACUUUUUACGAUAG